GACGAACGCUGGCGGCGUGCUUAACACAUGCAAGUCGAACGGAAAGGCCCCUUUGGGGGUACUCGAGUGGCGAACGGGUGAGUAACACGUGAGUAACCUGCCCUUGACUUCGGGAUAACUCCAGGAAACUGGGGCUAAUACCGGAUAGGAAUCCUUGCUGCAUGGUGGGGGUUGGAAAGCUUCGGCGGUUUUGGAUGGACUCGCGGCUUAUCAGCUUGUUGGUGGGGUAGUGGCUUACCAAGGCUUUGACGGGUAGCCGGCCUGAGAGGGCGACCGGCCACAUUGGGACUGAGAUACGGCCCAGACUCCUACGGGAGGCAGCAGUGGGGAAUAUUGCACAAUGGGCGGAAGCCUGAUGCAGCAACGCCGCGUGCGGGAUGACGGCCUUCGGGUUGUAAACCGCUUUCAGCAGGGGCGAAGCUUGUGGUGACGGUACCUGCAGAAGAAGCACCGGCUAACUACGUG
RNAcentral lists this ribosomal RNA (465 nucleotides) under uncultured bacterium. RNAcentral's name for it is "partial 16S ribosomal RNA". It matches the Rfam family "Bacterial small subunit ribosomal RNA", at positions 28 to 507 of the family's 1533-position model. The record is from RNAcentral.